UACGUAGGGUGCGAGCGUUAAUCGGAAUUACUGGGCGUAAAGCGUGCGCAGGCGGCUUGCCAAGUCAGAUGUGAAAGCCCCGGGCUCAACCCGGGAACUGCGUUUGAAACUGGCAGGCUAGAGUUUGGCAGAGGGGGGUGGAAUUCCACGUGUAGCAGUGAAAUGCGUAGAGAUGUGGAGGAACACCGAUGGCGAAGGCAGCCCCCUGGGUACCAAACUGACGCUCAGGCACGAAAGCGUGGGAGCAACAGG
Molecule: ribosomal RNA, 252 nt
Filed under: uncultured bacterium
Lineage: Bacteria
Description: partial 16S ribosomal RNA
Rfam family: Bacterial small subunit ribosomal RNA
Source: RNAcentral